GGCCUAACACAUGCAAGUCGAACGCCCCGCAAGGGGAGUGGCAGACGGGUGAGUAACGCGUGGGAACAUACCCUUCGGUUCGGAAUAACUCAGGGAAACUUGGGCUAAUACCGGAUACGUCCGUGAGGAGAAAGAUUUAUCGCCGAAGGAUUGGCCCGCGUAAGAUUAGCUAGUUGGUGAGGUAACGGCUCACCAAGGCUAUGAUCUUUAGCUGGUCUGAGAGGACGAUCAGCCACACUGGGACUGAGACACGGCCCAGACUCCUACGGGAGGCAGCAGUGGGGAAUAUUGGACAAUGGGCGCAAGCCUGAUCCAGCCAUGCCGCGUGAGUGAUGAAGGCCUUAGGGUUGUAAAGCUC
Molecule: ribosomal RNA, 358 nt
Filed under: uncultured organism
Description: bacterial SSU rRNA
Rfam family: Bacterial small subunit ribosomal RNA
Source: RNAcentral